GCCGGGCGUGGUGGCGUGCAUGCCUGUAUUCCCAGUUACUCAGGAGGCUGAAGUGGGAGGAUGGCUUGAGCCCAGGAGCUCUGGGCUGUAGUGCGCUAUGCCGAUUGGGUGUCCGCACUAAGUUCGGCAUCAAUAUGGUGACCUCCCGGGAGCGGGGGACCACCAGGUUGCCUGAGGGGUGAACCGGCCCAGGUCGGAAAUGGAGCAGGUCAAAAACUCCCGUGCUGUUCAGUAGUGGGAUUGCACCUGUGAAUAACCACUGCACUCCAGCCUGGGCAACAUAGUGAGACCCCGUCUCU
Molecule: signal recognition particle RNA, 299 nt
Filed under: Aotus nancymaae (Ma's night monkey)
Lineage: Eukaryota; Metazoa; Chordata; Mammalia; Primates; Aotidae
Description: Metazoan signal recognition particle RNA (ENSANAG00000012049.1)
Rfam family: Metazoan signal recognition particle RNA
About the family: The signal recognition particle (SRP) is a universally conserved ribonucleoprotein.
Source: RNAcentral